Molecule: ribosomal RNA, 484 nt
Filed under: uncultured bacterium
Lineage: Bacteria
Description: partial 16S ribosomal RNA
Rfam family: Bacterial small subunit ribosomal RNA
Source: RNAcentral
AUUGAACGCUGGCGGCAUGCUUUACACAUGCAAGUCGAACGGCAGCGCGGGCUUCGGCCUGGCGGCGAGUGGCGAACGGGUGAGUAAUGCAUCGGAACGUGCCCAGUAGUGGGGGAUAGCCCGGCGAAAGCCGGAUUAAUACCGCAUACGACCUGAGGGUGAAAGCGGGGGACCGAAAGGCCUCGCGCUAUUGGAGCGGCCGAUGUCGGAUUAGCUAGUUGGUGGGGUAAAGGCUUACCAAGGCGACGAUCCGUAGCUGGUCUGAGAGGACGACCAGCCACACUGGGACUGAGACACGGCCCAGACUCCUACGGGAGGCAGCAGUGGGGAAUUUUGGACAAUGGGGGCAACCCUGAUCCAGACAUGCCGCGUGCGGGAAGAAGGCCUUCGGGUUGUAAACCGCUUUUGUUCGGGAAGAAAUCCUCUGGGCUAAUACCCCGGGGGGAUGACGGUACCGGAAGAAUAAGCACCGGCUAACUACGUG